CGGAGCAACGCCGCGUGAGUGAUGAAGGCUUUCGGGUCGUAAAACUCUGUUGUUAGGGGAGAACAAGUACAAGAGUAACUGCUUGUACCUUGACGGUACCUAACCAGAAAGCCACGGCUAACUACGUGCCAGCAGCCGCGGUAAUACGUAGGUGGCAAGCGUUAUCCGGAAUUAUUGGGCGUAAAAGCGCGCGCAGGCGGUUUCUUAAGUCUGAUGUGAAAGCCCACGGCUCAACCGUGGAGGGUCAUUGGAAACUGGGGAACUUGAGUGCAGAAGAGAAAAGCGGAAUUCCACGUGUAGCGGUGAAAUGCGUAGAGAUGUGGAGGAACACCAGUGGCGAAGGCGGCUUUUUGGUCUGUAACUGACGCUGAGGCGCGAAAGCGUGGGGAGCAAACAGGAUUAGAUACCCUGGUAGUCCACGCCGUAAACGAUGAGUGCUAAGUGUUAGAGGGUUUCCGCCCUUUAGUGCUGCAGCUAACGCAUUAAGCACUCCGCCUGGGGAGUACGGUCGCAAGACUG
RNAcentral lists this ribosomal RNA (519 nucleotides) under uncultured Bacillota bacterium. RNAcentral describes it as "bacterial SSU rRNA". It matches the Rfam family "Bacterial small subunit ribosomal RNA", at positions 387 to 896 of the family's 1533-position model. The record is from RNAcentral. Lineage: Bacteria; Bacillati; Bacillota.